ACACUUGGUGGAAUUGUGAUGUUUCAUUUGCAAACCAUUGCGAUGUUUCGAUGUUCCAUUUGCCAACCAUCACGAUGUUUCAUUUGAGAUAUUUUUUUGUUCUCCCUUGUUUCAGUUAUGCUUGAACCGUUGCGAUUAUUCACUCAACAGUCUCAACACAAGUCACUUCCAUCCCUAUAUAUAUGGCAUAACAAUCUUGCUAUCAUUCACUAUAUUUUCUAUUUGUAUACUUAGUUUUGUCCCAGCAAUCUACGCAGCGCAGUAACAAGAUUAAGAUGACUGGGAAAUCAUUAGAAAAAAGUCUUGGGACUUUUAAAGAAUUUGAUCGUCUUUCUGAAAACUUAGACUUGACUGAAGAUGAGAGACUUGUCCUGGAACUGGAAUGGAUCUUAAACAAUAUUCAAACUCAUCCAAAGGAAGUUAUGGACUGGAUAAGGGCUCAUACGAACACAAGAGUGU
Molecule: long non-coding RNA, 459 nt
Organism: Papaver somniferum (opium poppy)
Lineage: Eukaryota; Viridiplantae; Streptophyta; Magnoliopsida; Ranunculales; Papaveraceae
Exons: 3
Source: RefSeq, a predicted model, not a curated record